Helianthus annuus (common sunflower) is the source of this 471-nucleotide long non-coding RNA. RefSeq lists it as uncharacterized. The record is from RefSeq and is a predicted model, not a curated record. Lineage: Eukaryota; Viridiplantae; Streptophyta; Magnoliopsida; Asterales; Asteraceae. The transcript has 2 exons.
CAGACCGCACCACAGCAGUCCCCGGCCCACUUUGCCGGGUCAGGCCAUUACUCAUCUCCUCAGUUCGGGCCACAACAAUAUGGGUAUGAUGCGUUGUGCCCCUCUGAUUUAAGUGCAACGUUUAAUAAUUUGCGGAUGAACCCGAACGCCUCAUGGAAUAAUGACAUUAUGGAUACUGGAGUAGGCUCGCACUCGGCACGCGAUCCAGGAUCUCUUCACUAAACGGACUCUUUCAAGACACAAUAGUACCGGGGACCUCUAUCCUUUCACUCCGCCUGAAUUACCUCCACAAGCCUGCUUCAUCACCACACCAUCCCUUCCUUGGCACGAGCGUCUCGGCCACCCCGGGAAUCAAGUUUUAGAUUUAUUAUGUCGUACAUUUAAUUUUUCAUGUAAUAAAGACACUUUGUCUCAUGUUUGCAAUUCUUGUCAACUUUCAAAUAGUAAACAUUUAUCCUUUUCCGUAUCCAA